UCAGUGUGUGUGUUAGUGGAAGCGUCUGGAAAGGCGCGCGAUACAGGGUGACAGCCCCGUACACAAAAAUGCACAUGCUGUGAGCUCGAUGAGUAGGGCGGGACACGUGGUAUCCUGUCUGAAUAUGGGGGGACCAUCCUCCAAGGCUAAAUACUCCUGACUGACCGAUAGUGAACCAGUACCGUGAGGGAAAGGCGAAAAGAACCCCGGCGAGGGGAGUGAAAAAGAACCUGAAACCGUGUACGUACAAGCAGUGGGAGCACGCUUAGGCGUGUGACUGCGUACCUUUUGUAUAAUGGGUCAGCGACUUAUAUUCUGUAGCAAGGUUAACCGAAUAGGGGAGCCGAAGGGAAACCGAGUCUUAACUGGGCGUUAAGUUGCAGGGUAUAGACCCGAAACCCGGUGAUCUAGCCAUGGGCAGGUUGAAGGUUGGGUAACACUAACUGGAGGACCGAACCGACUAAUGUUGAAAAAUUAGCGGAUGACUUGUGGCUGGGGGUGAAAGGCCAAUCAAACCGGGAGAUAGCUGGUUCUCCCCGAAAGCUAUUUAGGUAGCGCCUCGUGAAUUCAUCUCCGGGGGUAGAGCACUGUUUCGGCAAGGGGGUCAUCCCGACUUACCAACCCGAUGCAAACUGCGAAUACCGGAGAAUGUUAUCACGGGAGACACACGGCGGGUGCUAACGUCCGUCGUGAAGAGGGAAACAACCCAGACCGCCAGCUAAGGUCCCAAAGUCAUGGUUAAGUGGGAAACGAUGUGGGAAGGCCCAGACAGCCAGGAUGUUGGCUUAGAAGCAGCCAUCAUUUAAAGAAAGCGUAAUAGCUCACUGGUCGAGUCGGCCUGCGCGGAAGAUGUAACGGGGCUAAACCAUGCACCGAAGCUGCGGCAGCGACGCUUAUGCGUUGUUGGGUAGGGGAGCGUUCUGUAAGCCUGCGAAGGUGUGCUGUGAGGCAUGCUGGAGGUAUCAGAAGUGCGAAUGCUGACAUAAGUAACGAUAAAGCGGGUGAAAAGCCCGCUCGCCGGAAGACCAAGGGUUCCUGUCCAACGUUAAUCGGGGCAGGGUGAGUCGACCCCUAAGGCGAGGCCGAAAGGCGUAGUCGAUG
This 1101-nucleotide ribosomal RNA is filed under the name Escherichia coli. RNAcentral's name for it is "partial 23S ribosomal RNA". It matches the Rfam family "Bacterial large subunit ribosomal RNA", at positions 317 to 1420 of the family's 2925-position model. The record is from RNAcentral. Lineage: Bacteria; Pseudomonadati; Pseudomonadota; Gammaproteobacteria; Enterobacterales; Enterobacteriaceae.